Daphnia magna is the source of this 82-nucleotide transfer RNA. It matches the Rfam family "tRNA". Rfam says of the family: Transfer RNA (tRNA) molecules are approximately 80 nucleotides in length. Their secondary structure includes four short double-helical elements and three loops (D, anti-codon, and T loops). Lineage: Eukaryota; Metazoa; Arthropoda; Branchiopoda; Diplostraca; Daphniidae. The record is from Rfam.
GACGAGGUGACCGAGUGGUUAAGGUGAUGGACUGCUAACCUAUUGAGCAUUGCACGCAUAGGUUCGCAUCCUAUCUUCGUCG